GCAAAUACUUAUAAUUUAUUUGUAAUUAUUCCUCCCUCCCAUUUCAAAUACUUUUUACGAUUUUUGUACAAAAAUUAAAUAAAUAACGGGAUAGUCUUAUUUGUGUAUAAAAAAAAUAUUAACAAUUAACUAAAGUACACUUAAAAUGUAGAAAAAUAAUAAGAAAAAGAUAACUGCAUUGGGAAAGCAUUCAAGUUCAAGUUGGCCCCUCCAUCAUCUCAAGGGAUCUCUUCUCUCCUGUCGAGAGGUUGCAUUAAGCUCAACUUUGAUACCGCUGUUAAUGUCAAAGAGGCGGAAGGUAAUAUAGCUGCCAUCGCUAGAAAUUGUAAUGACAAUUUUUGUAGAUGGACUUUCAGGAAGGUUGAAGACAUAGUGAACCCACUGGUUUUGGAAUCUUUGGCCUACUAAGAAGCAGCUUUUUGGGCCAGAGCAAAAGGAAUUGUUGAAGGAGAUUAUCAUAUUGUUGUUAACACACUUGUGAUGGAUUGAGUCUUUAAUCUAGGCGGACAAAAAUUGAAAUCUUUAAUUUAUUGAGUCUUGUUGCUAUUAACUUGACAAAGUGAGUUUAAACUUGGAAUAUCCCUAACACACUUGUGAUGGAUUCUGCAGAUUUUAUAUAAUUAGCAAGAAUAUCAUAAAAUUAAUCAACUCUGCAUUGUCCUCUUACAUAUGCCAACAGCACACAGACAACUAAUUAAUUAACCAUAUAUAUGAUCUAACAUAGGUAAUACGUACAAAAUUAACUUGAAAUCUCACAAUUUUUAAAAAUAAUUUUAAUUAUUGAGUCAAUAGAGAGCUAAUUAUUUAGAGCUGCAUGGCUAAGCUAGCUACUUGACGUAAGCCUUAUUAUUAUUAUUAUUAAAGUCUAAAUCAAGGAAAUUAGAGCUGCUAUAUGCAUUGUAAAUCCAGUUAAAAAUCACAGGAAUGAUCAUGUUCCAACCUACCAAGAAAUCAUACAGUAAUGAGAAUCAAAGACCAGAGUUAUUAACUAAUAUUGUUAUAUUGUGAACAUAUAUAUCAAGAUAGACUAAAUGGUUAAUAUUACGUAUGUAAUGAAGGAUAGAUCAUCAUACUCUUAUGCCAUAUUUAACAAAUGGAAAUUCAAAUAGCCUUCGUUAUCUAAGAAAAUGAGAGAACAAUUAGACUACUCUAUUGUAAAUCAAUAAUCAGUUGAAUUAAUGUAGUAAAACUAACUCUUUAAUAAACUUUACCUAUAAAAUUAGGAGUUUGAACUUUAUAAUGGCGAGGAUUUUACUUCAAUAAAUGUGAACACAACUCUGAUUAAUUAGUGAUAGAUUUAGAUUAUAAAUGAUUAAUCAUACAACAUACAAUUAAAAAAAAAAAAACCCAUAAAACAUGCAUGUGAUGAGCUAGAUUCUCAUCAAAAAUUUCCAAAUCUUAAUAAUUCUCUUGAAUGGUUUAUGUCUUUUCACAAAAAUUAAAGCAUAUGGACAACACCUCAAUUAUUAGUUUUUCAAUUAUUUUAGAGAUCUUGCCAUAGGAAGGCAAUAAAUUAUUCCUCCUAAAUUUGAUGUCCCUUCCAACUAUAAUCAGAAAUGCAUCAUUAAUGUGAACCUAAAUUCAAUUCGAUACUUUAAAGGCAUUGUCCUACGAAGAGAAAAAAUAAUAAAUAAUUAUUAUAUAUAAUUAUUACUAUCUCUGCCUGCUUUUAUUUAUUAAUUUUUAAAAAUUAU
This 1694-nucleotide unclassified non-coding RNA is filed under the name Hevea brasiliensis (rubber tree). The record is from RNAcentral. Lineage: Eukaryota; Viridiplantae; Streptophyta; Magnoliopsida; Malpighiales; Euphorbiaceae.